Mycena latifolia is the source of this 89-nucleotide non-coding RNA. NCBI's taxonomy places the organism in Eukaryota, Fungi, Basidiomycota, Agaricomycetes, Agaricales, Mycenaceae. The record is from the annotation of a GenBank genome assembly.
GGCUCGGUAGCGCGCGGCGCGCAUCUGCAUCCAGUUACCCGCUGAAAUUGUCCAAAAGCAGAGUGCCUGUUCGAAUCAGGCCCGAGCCA